GCCCGGUUAGCUCAGUUGGUAGAGCAUCAGACUUUUAAUCUGAGGGCCAUGGGUUCGAGUGCCAUAUCGGCG
RNAcentral lists this transfer RNA (72 nucleotides) under Dendronephthya gigantea. RNAcentral's name for it is "tRNA-Lys". It matches the Rfam family "tRNA". From Rfam's summary of the family: Transfer RNA (tRNA) molecules are approximately 80 nucleotides in length. Their secondary structure includes four short double-helical elements and three loops (D, anti-codon, and T loops). Lineage: Eukaryota; Metazoa; Cnidaria; Anthozoa; Malacalcyonacea; Nephtheidae. The record is from RNAcentral.